This 885-nucleotide long non-coding RNA is filed under the name Pan troglodytes (chimpanzee). Its description in RNAcentral is "long non-coding RNA NONPTRT003044". The record is from RNAcentral. Lineage: Eukaryota; Metazoa; Chordata; Mammalia; Primates; Hominidae.
GGGAUGGCAGAGGGGCAAAAAUUACCUGGGAUGAGGGGUUCUCCUUCAACCCUGGACUUUGACAUGAACCUGCAUGAGCAGAUGUUUCUGUCACCAGUGAUUACCCUAUAUUGCUCUUAGUAUCUCAUAGAGAACACUUCGUUCACAGAAUGUCAUCCAAAAAUGGUGAGCUUCAAGUUCUAGAAGCCCUUGGCCAGGCUUUCCAUCGCCCUACUGCUGCCUUCAGCCCACACAUUCCCUCUUAUGGCUCACGGAAUCUCUAAGUCUUACAGAUUUGAUCUCAUUGUUAACAUCCACAUUCUCACUCUUCCCUGUCUCCAUGGUCACUGCCUCAGGCAUGGUCACCUCUCUUCCAGUGGCCUCCUCUUCCUAAUUGGCCUCUCUGUCCCAAAGUUCUUUUCCUCUCCCAUUUAUCCCCCUGAGCCAGUGCAGUCUUCCCGGAGCUUAGCACCAAGCUGCCACCUGCCCAGCCAUUGGCUCAUUGUCUGGAAUACUCUCCCUCCAGCCUUUUCCUGGUUCACUCCUAAUUAUCUCUGCUAUCACACCUUGGUCUCCAAGUCCUUCUCCUGUGUGCUGCCUCAACAACCAAGGCAUCCUCCAGAAUCCUGCCUAUCAGCCUGUAGAAGAAGGAGAAGAAGAAGGAAGGAUACAGGAUGAGAAUCAGAGGAUGAAAAAGAACAGAUAGGGCCCCAGAGAGGAGAGAUGGAAGCACACAGACGGAGAGAAGUUGAAAGACAGAGAGAAAGAAGUGGGAUGAGAGCCUGGAAUAAAGGCAACUCAGGCCCAAAGAGAGGAAGUGCCUAACCCCAGGCCACAGAGCGAGUUAACUAGUGAUGGACCCACAUUUAGCUCAUCCUUAUUUGAGCAGCCCAUGGGCCAACGCUG